GUUGCCAGCGUAAAGUCGGGCACUCACAGGAGACUGCCGGAGACAAUUCGGAGGAAGUGGGGAUGACGUCAAAUCCUCAUGGCCCUUAUGACCUGGGCUACACACGCGCUACAAUGGCCUGUACAGAGGGAAGCGAAAGAGCGAUCUGGAGCGAAUCUCACAAAACAGGUCUCAGUUCGGAUUGCAGGCUGAAACCCGCCUGCAUGAAGCCGGAAUUGCUAGUAAUCGCAGAUCAGCUACGCUGCGGUGAAUACGUUCUCGGGCCUU
RNAcentral lists this ribosomal RNA (267 nucleotides) under uncultured Eubacteriales bacterium. Its description in RNAcentral is "uncultured Clostridiales bacterium partial 16S ribosomal RNA". It matches the Rfam family "Bacterial small subunit ribosomal RNA", at positions 1114 to 1382 of the family's 1533-position model. Lineage: Bacteria; Bacillati; Bacillota; Clostridia; Eubacteriales. The record is from RNAcentral.